CAAUGGAGGCACAUUGUCUCAGGAGUGUUUGUUUAUAGCCUUCAGAAGUCUUUCCUGCUAGCUCUGUCCAACAAAUGAUACAAUCAUUAGUCUAAGUAUAUCUUUUCUGUAACUCCAUUAGUUUAAGUAUUGGGACAGGCAUUUUUUGCCCAAAGUAGCAAGAGGAUAAACACUUGGAUCAAGGAAACAAAGAGGGCAUUGCAACAGAUAGAAAGAGCAAUAAUCUACUCCAGGGAAUAGAUAAAUAACCGAGUGGUAGCUAAAAGAAUGGCAAGCACAAAAGAUUGUCGGCAUAUCAUAGGUUUUUUUGUCCUUUACUGAACCAUUUGUUUAUAAUUUGCAGGAUCGUGUGAUUAGAUUCCCUAAUGUAGGUGGAGAAAUUUGGACCACCCCAGUUUUAUAGUUUGAUUCUCAUGCAGCAGGUAGCGUUUGCAUCAUUAAACUAUUAUAGAGCCUUAUCUUUGCUGAUAAUUCCCUUCAGUUUUCUAAUGGGAAAGGAGAGAGGCAGCUUUCUUAAGCAUGGGCCUCAACAAGCUGGGCCACACUUGUACAAUAAUGUACUAUGCAUUACCCAGAAAUCUAUCAAUUCUGUCUUCCUUUCGGUUGAAACCUUACCAGCCUACCAGCAUAAAUCAAAUAUCUAGCUCAGAUUUAGAAUGAACCUGUCAAGCAAAGGUAAGAACAAAUAGAACUUCAUAUUAGGUAUUCCGUAACUGUAACAACGAAAAAUACCUCUUUUUCAAGCGUUUUUGCGGUUGAUUGGGUUUGACAAAAGAAGAGACAAUAAUAAUGUAAUGUGCCCUGUGUUAAUGAACUCAAGAAAUGCUUAGCAGAUCUGGCAGUGGUACCGCUUCGCUACCACAGUGCUGAUAUUACCCUUGUCGAGCAAAUCAUUGAAAAUCCUUGUCCAUCUUCCACUACCAAGCAAUGCGCCCUAGUGUGAGGCUGAUGUCAAUCUCCUUGAAGACACUUCACCCCUUCAGGGUAGCAUGCACGACUUUAUGUGCUAUGAUUUUGUCCCUUGAUGAGAGAUGGUGAUUUCGGACAUGCAAAAGGGGCAACUCAAUUAAUCCACUGUGAUUUUAGUUGUCCCUGUCUGAUUACUAUUCAUAUUCAGUUAUGUGCCUGCAGUUUGAACUCAAUUAAAAAUACUAUAAUGUUGUUACCUUACUCAGGGGACUGCUAGUUCCAGAUUGGCACAUGAAAAUAUUCGAAAAAAGGGAUUGGCAUAAUACCUAAGUCAGCAGUGAGAACAGGAAGAUGUUAUUUGAUAUUCGGAAUGGUACUGUUUUAGCACCGCUUCUGAUUAAGCAUAAUUAAAUAAGAAGAGAAAGUGCUUGCUAAAGCAGCAUAAACAAUGUUAAACUCAUAAUGGCAAUAGAAUUUAAUGUAUUAAUAACAACGUGAGGGUAGAAGCUGAAGACCAUAAGUGUGGAAUCUGCAACCCAAAAUGAACUUGUCCAGGAGCAAGUCAUAAGAACACAAAUGAUGAUAAUCAUGUAUGGGAGGUAGCAUUCCCUAGAAGAAAAGUUCCAUAGCGCAAAUGAAAAGAAAGAAAAAGAAGGGUCUUUCCAGAGGAAAGCUACCUUUCAGUAUUCAAACACUAAUGAUUUGAGGUGAGCUUCAUCUAGAAAAGGAGGACAAUAGAACUGUUUAAGUCUUGUACUUAAAGAUUGUUGGGAUCACACAGAUCAUACAACAUCCUGAACUGAAAGGGAGUGGUCACACUUCCAGCAAGUAUGCUUUUAUCACUUCAUGUUACUUUCAAUCAAGAACAAGACAUAAAACUGCGCUCAUCAUACAGUUCAAGCAUGGUGUCACAAGGAGCACGGGCGAGCAAGACACUAGUCCAAGUUACUAAGCAGUGUAGAUAGAAUAGACAUCUGAAUCCUGGUUCCUGUUGAAAUCUUGGAGGUGAGGUGGACGGCCAUAAUGCCACUGAACAUGGGUGGGUUAACAUAAUGAAGCAUAUUUAGGCCAUGUUUGGAAAAGUGGUUGCAAACCGCAAAAUCCUGAAAAUCCCUAGAACAUCAACCUUCCAAACAGGCCCUUACGCUGCCAUUCCUGCCCAGCGAGGAAAUACGUCGAACGGAUGCAGUGCACCACGGAAGCCUAAACAGACAAUGGACGAGGGAGCAAUCAUUACAAUUACAUACCAGCGCCAAUGUUCUCCCUCGGCUGCGUUGAAUGAACCCGUGAAGCAGCUCGGUCGGCGUGAAUGGCGAGGCGUCGAUGCGGAAGCGCGGACUCACCCUUCCUUCCGGGCCUCCGGCGCUGCCUGCCCCGUCAGCAAGUGAGGACAUGCUGGUCUUGAAUUCUCGAUGACGAUCGGUGGGCUGAACGAAGGCUAAAUGAAGAAUGCCUCUUCUAGAAUGUAGCCACUGGGUUCGGCGGCUUGACAAUGACAUUGCCCAGUGUUUAAAUUUACUCUUUUAUUAACUACCUUUGAAACCGAUGUUUAAUUCGGAUCACACAUGGCCCCUCGCAAGCAUGAGUGAUGAGACCCCUGCAAAGUUUCGAGCAGUGAGCACCGUCAGCAGCAGCAUCACUGCUCUGCUUUUAGAAAUCUUUGGAAGAGAGGCUUGGAGGGCUCAGGAAAAGGGUGGUAAUGGUUAAUGCCUGCA
Molecule: long non-coding RNA, 2624 nt
Filed under: Setaria viridis
Lineage: Eukaryota; Viridiplantae; Streptophyta; Magnoliopsida; Poales; Poaceae
Description: long non-coding RNA (SVIR_LNC002550)
Source: RNAcentral